UACGUAGGGGGCAAGCGUUGUCCGGAAUCAUUGGGCGUAAAGCGCGCGUAGGCGGCCUCGUAAGUCCGUUGUGAAAGUCAAAGGCUCAACCUUUGAAAGCCGAUGGAUACUGUGAGGCUAGAGUCCGGAAGAGGCGAGUGGAAUUCCUGGUGUAGCGGUGGAAUGCGCAGAUAUCAGGAGGAACACCAGUGGCGAAGGCGGCGACCUGGGCAGAUACUGACGCUGAGACGCGAAAGCGUGGGGAGCGAACAGG
Molecule: ribosomal RNA, 253 nt
Filed under: uncultured bacterium
Lineage: Bacteria
Description: partial 16S ribosomal RNA
Rfam family: Bacterial small subunit ribosomal RNA
Source: RNAcentral